UUUUUUAUUUUCUUUUAUAAAAUUGUAACCCAAUUUUGUAUUUCACUACAAGAUAUCUGCACAAUAUGUGCGACACCAAUUUGUCUGCGGUGUCACCCCUAAUACUAAGUUAUACAUGUUUGGUGUUGCCGCUUAUGCCAUUGCCGCCGCAAGAAGUGUGUCUACUAAGAUGUAAUCGCUAAGGGCAUUAAGGAUAUGCGUCCUACUUUGGACACACCAAUCUAAAUAUAAACCAAACAGAAUCUCCUAAUCUAUCUGCUGCAGGGUUUUUUAAAUCCCAAAAUAUUCGGCUCUUUUUACAUUAGUUUUACACCAACACUUUUUACAUUAUAGUUGAAAUAAUUCAUUUCUAAAAUCAGAAAUAUCUUUUACUUUUUUAUAAGUUAUUUUAUUUGAAUUCAUUAUAAAACCAAAACUUCUAUUUUAUUAGUUUUCUUUUAUAAAAUUUUAACCUAAUUUUGAAUUUCACUACAAGAUAUCGGCACAAUAUGUGUGACACCAAUUUGUAUACAGUUUAGCACCUAAUACUAAGUUAUACAUGCUUGGUGUUGAUGCUAGUGCCAUUGCCGCCACAAAAAUUGUCGCUACUAACAUGUAUUCGCUAAGGGCAUUAACAAUAUGUGUCCAACUUUGGACACACCACUCUAAAUGAAAACCAAACAGAAUCCCCUAACCCAUCUCCUGGAUUGUUUUUUGAAAACUAAAAUAUCCGGCUGUUUUUAGAAUAAUUUUACACCAACACUUUUUACAUUAUAGUUGAAGUUAUUCAUAUAUAAAAUCAGAAACAUCUUUUACUUUUUUAUAAGUCAUUUUAUUUGAAUUCAUUAAAAAACCAAAACAUUUAUUCUUUUAUUUCUCUUUUAUAAAAUUGUAACCAAAUUUUAUAUUUCACUACAACAUAUCUGCACAAUAUGUGUGACACCAAUUUGUGUACGGUGUCGCCCCUAAUACUAAGUUAUACAUGGUUAGUAUUGCGGCUUAUGCCAUUGCCACCACAAAAAGUGUCGCUACUAAGAUGCAAUCGCUAAGGCCAUUAAUGAUAUGUGUCCUACUUUUGACACACCAAUCUAAAUAUAAACCAAAUAGAAUCUCCUAAUCUAUCUCCUGGAGGGUUUUUUGAACCCCAAAAUAUUCGACUAUUUUUAGAAUGGUAUUACACCAACACUUUUUACCUUAUAGUUGAAUUAAUUCAUUUAUAAAAUCAGAACAUCAUUUACUUUUUUAUAAGUCAUUUUGUUUUAAUUCAUUAUAAAACCUAAACUUCUAAUUUUUUAAUUUUCUUUUCUAAAAUUGUAAUCCAAUUUUGUAUUUCAUUGCAAGAUAUCUGCACAAUAUGUGUGACACCAAUUUCUAUACGAUGUCGAUGCUAAUGUUAGGUUAUAAAUGUUUGGUGUUGCUGCUUAUGCCAUUGCAGCCACAAAAUGGUCGCUACUAAGAUGUAAUCGCUAAGGGUAUUAACGAUAUGUGUCCUACUUUGGACAUACCAAUCUAAAUAUAAACCAAACAGAUUCUCCUAAUCUAUCUCCUUGAAGGUUUUUUGAAUUCCAAAAUAUUCGGCUCUUUUUAGAAUAGUUUUACACCAACAUUUUUUUACAUAUAGUUGAAGUAAUUCAUUUAUAAAAUCAGAAACAUCUUUUACUUUUUUUCAAGUCAGUUUAUUUGAAUUCACUAUAAAACAAAAACUUGUAUUUUUUUAUUUUCUUUUAUAAAAUUGUGAUCCAAUUUUGUAUUUCACUAUAAGAUAUUUGCACAAUAUGUGCGACACCAACUUGUAUACGUGUCGCCAACAAUGCUAAGUUAUACAUGGUUGGUGUUGCCGCAUAUGCCAUUGCAGCCACAAAAAGAGUCCCUACUAUGGACAUACCAAUCUAAAUAUAAACCGAACAGAAUCUCCUAAUCUAUCUCCUUGAAGGUUUUUUGAAUUCCAAAAUAUUCGGCUCUUUUUAGAAUACUUUUACACCAACACAUUUUACAUUAU
RNAcentral lists this long non-coding RNA (1978 nucleotides) under Lactuca sativa (garden lettuce). RNAcentral's name for it is "long non-coding RNA (LSAT_LNC008059)". The record is from RNAcentral. Lineage: Eukaryota; Viridiplantae; Streptophyta; Magnoliopsida; Asterales; Asteraceae.